AUGCAGGAAAAUGAGUUUAAGGGCAAUCCUCGACUUGGAACAACUGGGAGAAAAUAUGAUGUAUAUUACUCAGAUUUGGAUCCUCUCACGUGAUAUGAUCGUCAUGUGAACAGAAAAAUAGAUGCAUUCAUAGCAGAGAAGGUACGAUAUUUUAUUUAUUUUUCUCCACACAGCACGUCGUCAUCAUGUUACUAUGGGAGGAUCCAAAUCGCAUUGGUCAGUAGUUUGGUAGUUUUAUGAUGAAAGAUGGUUUUAGUUUCUACGGCGGAAGGCAUCUGUAAGUAGUCUGUGAUUGCUUUACAUAGAGAUUGCUGAAUUGCAACAUAUUUAACACUUUUAAGUUGUAUAUAUAUUUCAUUUCAUUUAUAGUUUC
Neltuma alba is the source of this 373-nucleotide long non-coding RNA. RefSeq lists it as uncharacterized. The record is from RefSeq and is a predicted model, not a curated record. NCBI's taxonomy places the organism in Eukaryota, Viridiplantae, Streptophyta, Magnoliopsida, Fabales, Fabaceae. The transcript is spliced from 2 exons.